This 481-nucleotide long non-coding RNA is filed under the name Homo sapiens (human). RNAcentral describes it as "non-protein coding lnc-TRNT1-5:1". Lineage: Eukaryota; Metazoa; Chordata; Mammalia; Primates; Hominidae. The record is from RNAcentral.
AUGGUGGUGGCCGUGGUGCUGGCAGCUGGGUUGUGCCCUCUGCAGAGCCAUGGCGGCCCCAGGGCUGCGCGGCACACAUCUGAGGAGCUGUAGGUGUGACUGGUGGGAAUGAAAUGACCAAGGCCCAGCGGGCAAUUCCUGGGGGUGUAGCCCCAACCAUCUUCUGUGGGAUCCUGGACCAUCGCCUCCCAGCCUACAUCCUAUAUGAGGACUAGCAGUGUCUUGUGUUCCCUGAGGUGGCUCCAUAGGCUCCUGUGCACUUUCUGGUCAUUCCUAAGAAGCCCAUUCCUCGGAUUAACCAGGCUGAAGAAGAAGACAGCAGCUUCUUGGACACCUACUCCUUGUGUGUAAGAAGAUAGCAAGGGCUGAGGGCCUAGGAGAUGGAUACCAACUUGAGAUCAAUGAUGAGAAGCUGGGUGAACAAUCCGUAAAUGACCUGCACAUUCACUUACUUGGGAGCUGACAGCUCCAGUGGCCUCCA